Dendronephthya gigantea is the source of this 1776-nucleotide long non-coding RNA. RefSeq lists it as uncharacterized. The record is from RefSeq and is a predicted model, not a curated record. Lineage: Eukaryota; Metazoa; Cnidaria; Anthozoa; Malacalcyonacea; Nephtheidae. The transcript has 4 exons.
CUUUCGGUAUGAACCGCUCAAACGUAAGUUAGCACUUAGGUAGGUUUGAUAUGAAUCUGGCAGGAAAGAACAUACAAUCAUGACGACGAUGCCGUAGAGUGAUUUGUCAAUGGAUCUGGAGCAUUGAUUGACGAAGCUUGGAUAACUCGUCGUUAUACUGCGCCUCUGUUGCAACUCUGCCAAUUGUUGUCAUUGAUUUCUGGAGAAACUCUUGCUCACUCUGAUCAAGCCCGUUUUUCCACAAUCUGACCCAACGCUGGAUUGCCUGCUGACGGCUGAUAUAUGCAAUAACACCAGGAAAGCACGUUUCGAUCGCCCCAAUUUCAGCGGCUGAAAAAUCCACCAUAAAGUAUUUUGGACUCCAGUCCCGGUUCCAUCCUCGCAAGAUCCCCAAGGCUUCGGAUAUGGAAAUUUCGUCCUCGUGUUGACACAUAAACUCAGCAACUACUUUGUAGCCAACGUUGGUGUUUACGCACAAGAAGAACAACGGCAUGGCAUAUUUCGUGGUUUUGUACGUCGCGUCAAGUAGGACAAGAUCGCUUCCAUAUUUCAGAAGAAGUUUUCGUUGCCACUCUUCUUGAUGAACAAAAAGAAAAUUAUCGCUGUCGUUAGUGGGCACGCUGGCACCAAAAUAGUUCGGUUCGCCCUCUUGGGUUCGCAGGAAGAAUCUUGUACUUGGCGAAGACUUUUUUAAAUCAGUUAUCUUUCGAAGAAGAGACUCUUGGUCAUCGUUGCAGUAUUUUCCAGCGGCAAUAGCUUUUGAAAUAUGAUUUCGUAAGUCCUUGGAACUCGGAUAGUAUCUGCGAUUUGUUUUCCUUGGCCAUGUGUGUUUCGGAGCACCAGAAAAUAGCUCUUUUUCAUUAAAAUCAAAUUUGAUCAAUUACAUCGCGAAUUGCAUCAUAUCUGUUGUUACUGUUAUAGCAAGACGUAUUUUGAGAGUAAAUUGUCAAACACCAAGCCCAAGGCGUUUCUCAGAAAUCUGAAGUCUUCAUGGUCCAUGUCUUUGUCUGGUUGUCAUUUUAGGACUUCGUAACUCGUAAGAGGCAUACAUGAAGUACCUCAUCGUCUUAAAUUCAACAUGGCGUUUUUUAAGUUCUCUUCGCUGGUAAAUGUAAAGGAUUUCAAAAAGGAAAUGACCUCAACACUUGAUGUUGAGGAUAUUAGUCUUGAAGAAAAUAUUAGAGAUCGAUCAAAACCUUUGGAGAAUAUAACCCAGGACACCUUACAAGAAGUUGAAGAUGUUUGUAGCGUGUUACCUGAAUCCAGAAAUUCUCGCUGAGCAUCAUUCAAACAAAAGAAUUAUAUCAUCCUUUCAGAACAGCUGCAAAAGGCGAAAGCAGCUGUCACCGGUCAUAAAAUAGAUAGACAAGAAGUUGUCCUUUCUGGAGCACUAUAUCAUCCCAUGAAGGUAAUUAAUCAAUACUAUUUCAAGAAUUAUAAAGUAUUUCAUAUUUAUAUGUAUGCAUAAUUUUUUCUCUGUCUUAAUAUUGUUUCGAAAAAUUCAAGAAUUUUUGGUACUUGGAAGAGAGGUAGGACAUAGCUAUUGCUAAAACGUAAUUAGCAUUGUUUUCAUGCAUAUUGUACAGUACAUGUGGAAUGUUACACGAUAUUUUUGCAGUUUUGGCAUGCAGUUUUGUUCCUCACUCAAGGUAACUAAAAUCUUUUGAUUUAAGGUCCGUUCACACUAUCCAUUAUGUCGGAUCCAAUUCACUUCUUACGUAUGGAAUGUGGUUUGUUAUCGAUAAAACAGUACUGCAUGCAUUGGUUUUAGUUGAU